RNAcentral lists this transfer RNA (72 nucleotides) under Nannocystis pusilla. It matches the Rfam family "tRNA". Rfam says of the family: Transfer RNA (tRNA) molecules are approximately 80 nucleotides in length. Their secondary structure includes four short double-helical elements and three loops (D, anti-codon, and T loops). Lineage: Bacteria; Pseudomonadati; Myxococcota; Nannocystales; Nannocystaceae. The record is from Rfam by way of RNAcentral.
GCCCGCGUAGCUCAACGGGAGAGCGGCGUUCUUACACAUCGCAGGUCGGGGGCUCGACACCCUCCGCGGGCA